UUAUUUUUCGUUUGAUUAACUUUCGUGCAAUCGAAUUAAAUUAUUUCCUUUAUCGUAAAGUCAAACAGAAGCAAGGCGAUGUUAUUUUCUUCACUUUUUAAUUAAAACGAAUCGAGAAAUGCGUAUACGAUAUAAUACAAUGCCAUUUGAAUCGACAUUAUGCAUAUACACACCUGCCUUCAUUAUACGUAUAUAUAUAUAUGUAUAUAUAUAUGUACACAAUACAUAAUGUAUUAUUUGAUUUAAUUUUUUUCAAAAAACUUAUUAAAAAAUCUUAUAAUGUGCAUCGAAAUUUUUAUAGGUAGCCUUUUGUAACGUCAAGACAAAUGCACCGUAUGGGUUUUACAGAUCGUAGAAGAAGCCCCAGAUGGCAAGCGCCGUGUCCGAUCUUCUGUUUAAAAUUUGAACCACGCUGGUAUCGCGCUCGUUUUCCUUAACACCACCUGCUCGCACUCGACCGUCCUCGCAAUUUAUUUAUUGAUUCAUGAAAAUAUUAAAGUAAACCUUAUUAUAUAGGUACGAUAAUGAUCGAUGAACAUAGCAACGUUAGAAACAAAAAGAAUUCGAAAGAAAAUGUUUUAGGGACAAGUUUGAAAAGAUCUUUGUUCGUCAAGGAAAUGGGUCUGCUAUGGAAGCGUAUAAAUGCUCAGUGUGCGAGCACUGUGUUCUGUACGGAUAGCCGGAAGUUGAAUGUACGUAAUGUUUCUGGGCGCGCCUGCUAAAGCUAUUUUUCGCUUCACUGGCAAAUAAAAACAAUAUAAUGAUUGAGCAUAACUUGAUGCGCAUACUUAAAAGAUCUCAUACUUUUUCUAUGACUUCUAACUUAAAUUAUUAUUUCUCAAAUGUUUCAUAUUAUAUUGUUAUUAGAUAUAAAAUGCU
Long non-coding RNA from Vespa mandarinia (Asian giant hornet), 879 nucleotides. RefSeq lists it as uncharacterized. Lineage: Eukaryota; Metazoa; Arthropoda; Insecta; Hymenoptera; Vespidae. The record is from RefSeq and is a predicted model, not a curated record.